GACGAACGCUGGCGGCGUGCUUAACACAUGCAAGUCGAACGGAAAGGCCCUGCUUUUGUGGGGUGCUCGAGUGGCGAACGGGUGAGUAACACGUGAGUAACCUGCUCUUGACUUUGGGAUAACUUCAGGAAACUGGGGCUAAUACCGGAUAGGAGCUCCUGCUGCAUGGGGGGGGUGGGAAAGUUUCGGCGGUUGGGGAUGGACUCGCGGCUUAUCAGCUUGUGGGUGGGGUAGUGGCUUACCAAGGCUUUGGCGGGUAGCCGGCCUGAGGGGGUGACCGGCCACAUUGGGCCUGGGAUACGGCCCAGCCUCCUACGGGAGGCAGCAGUGGGGAAUAUUGCACAAUGGGCGGAGGCCUGAUGCAGAAACGCCGCGUGCGGGAUGACGGCCUUCGGGUUGUAACCCGCUUUCGCCUGUGACGAGGCGUGAGUGACGGUAAUGGGUAAAGAAGCACCGGCUAACUACGUG
This 468-nucleotide ribosomal RNA is filed under the name uncultured bacterium. Its description in RNAcentral is "partial 16S ribosomal RNA". It matches the Rfam family "Bacterial small subunit ribosomal RNA", at positions 28 to 507 of the family's 1533-position model. The record is from RNAcentral.